GAGGGUAUAGCUCAGUGGUAGAGUGCAUGCUUAGCAAGCAUGAGGUCCUAGAUACAAUCCCAGCACUUCCU
RNAcentral lists this transfer RNA (71 nucleotides) under Camelus bactrianus (Bactrian camel). It matches the Rfam family "tRNA". From Rfam's summary of the family: Transfer RNA (tRNA) molecules are approximately 80 nucleotides in length. Their secondary structure includes four short double-helical elements and three loops (D, anti-codon, and T loops). Further hydrogen bonds mediate the characteristic L-shaped molecular structure. tRNAs have two regions of fundamental functional importance: the anti-codon, which is responsible for specific mRNA codon recognition, and the 3' end, to which the tRNAs corresponding amino acid is attached (by aminoacyl-tRNA synthetases). tRNAs cope with the degeneracy of the genetic code in two manners: having more than one tRNA (with a specific anti-codon) for a particular amino acid; and 'wobble' base-pairing, i.e. permitting non-standard base-pairing at the 3rd anti-codon position. The record is from Rfam by way of RNAcentral. RNAcentral also lists the same sequence under 2 other names. Lineage: Eukaryota; Metazoa; Chordata; Mammalia; Artiodactyla; Camelidae.